Molecule: long non-coding RNA, 3659 nt
Organism: Equus asinus (donkey)
Lineage: Eukaryota; Metazoa; Chordata; Mammalia; Perissodactyla; Equidae
Source: Ensembl
AAAUUCUACAAGACAAAUGACCCGGUGUAUUCAUUCAGGUCCCAGCAGGAAACAGAUGGCAUACUCAAAUUAGGUAACUUGAAGAGAGCUUAAUCAAAGGACUAUUUACAAAGAUUUCAGCAGGAUGUUGGGAGGGAAACUAGGAGGGAACAAGGGGUAGCAUGGGACCCAGAGCUAAUCACAGCUCCAGAGACAUUACCACUCUGUGGAUGAAGGGACAGGAAAGGGAGCAGAUACUGUAAAAGGGGUACAUGGAGAGAGCAAGAGAGAGGGAAGGGAAGGAGGCAGAGAGAACAAACUAUGUGAAGACGGUCUCAUGACAAGGACUGUGACCUUCAGUUGAAAGACACAACAACAUAGCCAAGAAAUAUUGUACACUGAUGGUCAGAAUAAUGGUUACACUCUAUUUGGAAUAAAAUAGAAAAGGGAGGAAGAAAGAUUUAAUUCUUACAAAAAUAAAUUUAAGAAUCUCUUAUUUUAGCUGCCAGUAUUUCAGCAUGGAACUGACAGGUGAGGUAUAUUUUACAUCCAGGACUGACGCAAUGGAUUCCAACCCUUGUUGCUGUGUUCACUCCUGGCCCUCAGUCAGUUCUCCACUUAGUAGGCAGUGUCUUUGAAAACUACAAAUCUGGUCUGGGGGUUAAACUGCUUGAAACAUUUCAGUUGCCCUUCGAUAAAGAUUUUCAGCCUAAUUCAUAGGGCAUUCCAUGAUCUAGCAUUUUCUUGCCCCUCUAGUCCUCCUGCCCUUGAAUGGCUUUACCCCAGCCACACUGGCCACCCUCAGAAUGCCAUCAGCUUUCCUCCUAGCAGACAUUCAUGGAUGUGGUUCCUAUGGUCUGUGAGGUGUUUAGGGCUCAGCUGCAGGAAUCAGAAUUCGCUCCAGUUAGCUUAAGCAGAAGGGGACUUAUUAAGGAUAUUGCACAGCUCUGGAAGCAGUGUCAGGCCUGGAAAAGAAGACUAAAGAGAACCUCGAGAGCCGCGGCGGCUUGGCCACCGGAGGAAUUUUUGCCUCUUCUGCCAUCAGGGCGCUGGCAGCCAAACUGGGAAGCUGCCCCUGCAGCUGCUGUCUUCCAGGAUUCGGAAACCACUCAAAUUGGCAAACAGCCACAAUCUAGAAGCUAAAUGACCAGGAAGUCACCACGGUCAAGAGGUGCCUCAGGAAAGGCAGAUCUCCUGUUUAUUCACCAGUAAAAGUCACAGAAGGAGGGAGGCGAAGCCACUUGAUCACUUCCGUCUUCUGAAUCCUGAACGAGUGCCUCUGACUGAUGGAGCGAAUUCACGUCCAGAACCUGUCCUACAUGGAAACCUGGGAAUGUGUUUUUUAGCUUUCCAGUCUACACACGCUGGAAGGAGGUUGGAGGUGAUAUUGAGUGCCAAAAGACCACGUCUGCCGUAGCCGGGAACACUCUGUUCUUCCCCUGGCCGAGUAUUACUCAUCCUUCAGGAGUGGAUACAAUGUUAAGUUUGAAGUAUGGCAGGCCUGCAUACCUUCUGGAAAUGUCCAUCACAUUUUCUUCAGCAGCCUUUAAUGGAACCAAAUUCUCCUGAGAGAAUGACACUUCCCAUUCACUGACUCCAAUAAGGAGCAUCAUUCCCAGGUACUUGACUUUGAGGAGGCUGGAGAUGAAUGAGAUGCUCAGAAGCCUAAAAGAUGCAGGAAUGGUCUUUGUUCAGAGGUUGCCCACUGCCCAGUUCUCAGAACAGACUGAAUCUCAGAGAAGGAACAUUUCCCUUACAGCUCUUGGAUGGAUGUGUUUUGAAAACAGACUUACUUCUCCGAGGAUUUGACCUGACAACUUGUUCGCCUGUGAGGGUUGGAUCUGUGUGGAAGCCUAGCCCUAAUACUGAAAAGUUUUACUUUUCUGAAGAAAGGGACUGAAAGGCAGCUACAUGUUUGGCACAGUAAUGCUAAGGCUCUGGCACAAAAUCAGUCUGUCAGAAGCUCCUUUCCUCUGGAUAGAUGGACCAGUGACACUGGAUGGACUAAAGUCUUGUCUCAAAUGAAUGUAGAGCCCACUUCAGGAUUUCCAGCCCCUCUGCCUCUGGCUCCAAAGAACUGGCUUUACCAUUGAAGUUGUUAACAGUGAGGUCAGUGACGGGGGAUCAAAGCCCAGGGGAGAAACUGGGGCUGGUCAAGGGGGAGCCACCUGCCACAGAGCUUGGUUUUAACAUCUGUUGUCUAGGGUCACACUUCUCCAAAAGAUACACUACUGUGGUCAAGAUCAAGGUCACAUGGAAAAGAGGACUUUAAAGACAGCAAGUGAGCAUGGGUUGAUCUCAAGAUGAACUGGAACGGAAGAAAUCGAAAUUAGAAACCAAAUGUCCAUAUUUCAGAGAAAAGAACUUUACCAUUGAUCAGUUGCCCUGGGCAGUAAGAAACAGAUCGGGCACAAACUGGCUUAAGCUGGAAGCAAACGAAUUAGUUCACGUAGAAGGUGUCAACAGCAGGGUGGGCUUCAGGGUGGGUGGAUUCAGAGGCUUGAGGGCGUCAUUCUGUUCCUCGGUUCCAUUCUGUCUCUCCUCGCUGUCCUCCAUAGCACCGCCUCAUGCUAAGUCUGGUUCCCUUGUGUUCGAAUGGUGGCUGCCAAUGGCAGUCGGGACACGUGUUUUCUUUCCCACCCAGGGAGGGAGAAGAAGAGGCUAGAUACCCAUGACAGAUUCUUCCCUGGCGUCCCCAGGAGCCUCUCCUCAUGACUCAGGGGCCUCCCAGAGAGGAGAUGGUGGUCUCAGGCUUGCGAAGACCCAUCUGCUGGCGCGGAGUGGAUAUAGCCUCUAGGAUCACACGAAGAGGUUUCAGCUGUGCUGGGGCUUCCCCACUUUCAUGUUCUUUGAGUGUCAACUAAUGGGGCUGUUCUGUUUGUCUAUUGCUAUACAACAAAUGACCCCAAACUUAGUGGCUUGAAGAUACAGUCAUUUUAUUAUAUCUCCCAAUUUACGGGUCGUGAAUUCAGGCAGGACCCAGCUGAGAGAUGCUUCAGCAUCACAUGGCUUGGGCUGGGGUCACUCAGCGGUAUUUGGCUGGCAGCCAGGCUGGUCCGAGGGUCCUAGGAUGUCAUCACUCACAUGAUUGGCACCCUGGCGAUACUGGGGGCUGGGCUCAGGUGGGCGCCUCUCCCUCGUUGUGUGGGCCCUCUCCAUGUGGUCUCUCCAGCAGAGGAGCUGGACUUCUCACGUGGUGGCUCAGUUUGCUACACAGCUGCAAGUGACAGAGAAAUUGUGAAAUACAAGAUGAUUCCCAAUGAUUUGACAUGUCAUCUCCACUGUCCAUAAUAAACAAAAAGAAACGGGCAUUCAAUUUUAAUAAUAGAUGCUUUGUUUUUCUCCAUGCCCCCUAAAUAGAUGUGUCCAUUUUAAAAAAUAUCUGUUUGAAGAGAUGCUGCUUUGCCAUACUGUCCAGGGUGCCGGCGUCGCUGGCUCACCCUGUAUGGUAUGACUGUGGGGUUAUCUUUCCUUCCCAUCACCCCUGCUUGGUCUAGGGCAUCAUCACGUCUCCCAUGCUAUCCCAGUAGCCUCCAGCUGACCCUCUGGCCACCAGUCUCACCCCCUUCCACUCAUCCUCUACAUGUUUUCCAGUGUGAUUUUUCUGAAACAAAUCUGCUCAGACCAUUCCCUUGUCUAAAGUCACUAUGGGGUUCUCUUUUACCAACCAGAUAAAAUUC